Bos taurus (domestic cattle) is the source of this 886-nucleotide long non-coding RNA. NCBI's taxonomy places the organism in Eukaryota, Metazoa, Chordata, Mammalia, Artiodactyla, Bovidae. The record is from Ensembl.
ACCCUCCCAAUCCUCCGGUGAGGUCCUUCCAGACUGCCCGGGAAAGAGGUGAGGCAGUUGACCUGGGGAGGUGUUCAGAGCCUCACCCUCAGUCACCCAGCCAGAGGCACCCACGCUGAAUUUAAAGGUGGCCUUAAUUCUGGCAUCCUCUGCACCGCACUCCAUGGAAGCAGCACGUGACAACAGGUGCAUGCCAGGAAACAACUGAGCCUGGACCCAGAGUCUGGCCUGAUUGUCCCAAGGCUCCAGUCAUUGUGCCGGAUUCAAGUGUCAAGUCAAGGUCAGGAGGGCCACGAUGAGAACUGAUGAAGACUCCCAAUCCUGGCAGGAGGCUGGUCCUCCGUCUCCAUAAACACGAGCUCUGGCAGAGACGUCUGCAAGCCUAGAUCUUUACAGCUGGGCUAGUGGCUUCAACCGUCUGAAGGGCAGACUCAACAACUGCCAACCGGUGCGCUGUCCAGAAGAUGCUUUCUGCGUGGCCCUGCAAUGCAAAGUCCCCAAGCCCAAUCCCAAUGUGCCUUCCUGGUGUUCCUGGUCGCCUAGAGUUUUCACCUCCUUUGUCCCCAGUGCUGGGCACCUUCCCUAUUUAAGUAUUAUCCUAGCUGAUCACUGCUUACAGAAAGCCCAUAUUCUUCAUUUUCAUUGAUAGAGUUCCCAGAGCUCUAGCCAGUGCCUGGCAUCAAGCAGGGGCUGAAUGAGAGCGUGUGGAGGGCUUCCCUGGGGGCUUAGUGUAAAGAAUCUGCUUGCCGAUGCAGGAGACAUGGGUUCCAUCCCUGAUCUGGGAAGAUCCCACUUGCUGUGGAGCAGCUAAGCCCAUGCGCCACAACUACUGAGCCUGUGCUCCAAAGCCUAGGCUGCAGCUACUGAAGUCCCUGCGCCCUAGAGC